This 460-nucleotide ribosomal RNA is filed under the name uncultured bacterium. RNAcentral describes it as "partial 16S ribosomal RNA". It matches the Rfam family "Bacterial small subunit ribosomal RNA", at positions 338 to 795 of the family's 1533-position model. The record is from RNAcentral.
CCUACGGGAGGCAGCAGUGAGGAAUAUUGGUCAAUGGGCGGAAGCCUGAACCAGCCAAGUCGCGUGAGGGAAUAAGGCCCUACGGGUCGUAAACCUCUUUUGCCGGGGAGCAAGGGCGGGGACGUGUCCCGGCCCGGAGAGUACCCGAAGAAAAAGCAUCGGCUAACUCCGUGCCAGCAGCCGCGGUAAUAGGGAGGAUGCGAGCGUUAUCGGGAUUUAUUGGGUUUAAAGGGUGCGUAGGCGGGCUUUUAAGUCAGCGGUAAAAAUUCGGGGCUCAACCCCGUCCGGCCGUUGAAACUGGGGGCCUUGAGUGGGCGAGAGGCAGGCGGAAUGCGUGGUGUAGCGGUGAAAUGCAUAGAUAUCACGCAGAACCCCGAUUGCGAAGGCAGCGUGCCGUGCCGCCACUGACGCUGAGGCACGAAAGCGCGGGGAUCGAACAGGAUUAGAUACCCCUGUAGUC